AGAGCAUAUAAAGCUGAUUGAGAACAACACACUAGAUACCAGGUGACAGGGAUCGUUGAGACUCCAAAAAUGCAAGUAGUCGUACAAGUAGUCUUUGUCGCUGUGUUCGUCACGGCUGCGCUCGCAUGGGAGGAGCCUCAGUAUAAGCGGUUCUUCCCCAAACCAGAAGCGAAGACAGAGCCAUCCUAUUAUUAUGACAGGCAAGAUGACGACAGACCCAAGGACUGGAAGCCGAGAAAUGACAACAAACGACGUGAUUACUAUUAUUAUGACAGUCAAGAUGACUACAAACCCAAGGACUGGAAGUCGAUCAGUGACUACGAACAACGUGAUUACGACUACAACAACGACUACUACUACCCUUCACAGCCCCGCGUACCCGACAGCACAAACUCAGGGUAUGCUUACGACACGCAAUAUUAUGAACCUAGAUCUGCCAACCCACAACCAGUGCUUGAGUUGAAUGGAAACCUGAAGUUGUAUGGCAGCCGAAGGAGGAACGGCCCAUUCCUCAACAAACUAACUCGGCAGGACUACUACUGGUGAUUUGUCUGUAAUUCUCGGGCAGUUCGGCGCAUUGGGCUUCUCGGAAAUGAUUAAAGUUACGUCAAAUACUCA
Molecule: long non-coding RNA, 618 nt
Organism: Haliotis rufescens (red abalone)
Lineage: Eukaryota; Metazoa; Mollusca; Gastropoda; Lepetellida; Haliotidae
Exons: 3
Source: RefSeq, a predicted model, not a curated record